Long non-coding RNA from Oryzias melastigma (Indian medaka), 2267 nucleotides. RefSeq lists it as uncharacterized. The record is from RefSeq and is a predicted model, not a curated record. NCBI's taxonomy places the organism in Eukaryota, Metazoa, Chordata, Actinopteri, Beloniformes, Adrianichthyidae. The transcript is spliced from 4 exons.
UUCCUGAUAAUUAUCUUUUUUUUUUUCAUUUUCUGCAGUGCAAGUUAUUCAAGUCAUAAACUGACCAAUCAGAUUCCUCAAAAGAAAAAAGGUUUGCGAUCUAGCGUCAAACGUUUAACGGAUUUCAUGUAGAACGCUUUCAAGUGGUAGAGGUGUCAACAACCCCAUUAAUGAUUGGCGAGACGGGUUGCCAUAGAAAUGUUGACAAAGACUGACUCUGACCAAUCAGUGGUUAGUGAGGAUUUCCGGUUCCAAUAUGGCAGAAUUCGUGUCGCACAAAAAUGGAGACCGGAUUGACUUGAUUUUGUUGGAACCGGAUGCAGGUCAUUUUCAAAGUGUGACUCUGUCCACUAUGUUUAGUCAUAUGUUCCCAAAUCUAAAAAAAAACAGUAAGUACUAAAGGCUGCAGUUCCUCAAAAGACCACUAGAGGCUGGUGUCAAAAAUAAGUCAUUUCCCAUUGACUCAUAUGUGAAAAAGUCUGAUUUUGAUGUCAAACACUUUUAUUCAUUUUGUUUUGUCAUUUUUUUAAAAAUCAAUAGUUCUGAUUAUAUCAGAGGUUAAAUUCAGAGCCUGUUUUUCUUAAGGGUAUAUGAAAGUUCAGUCCAAUUAUUAUUUUGGUAACGUUGUUGGAGAAAAGGUGGAUCAAACUCUGGGCCAUGUGCACCUCCCAUAUCAUUUUUGUGUAUAAACCUGUGGAGCAUCCAUCCUGACAGAGGCGGAGCUAAAAAAUACAUAUUUCAAACAUCCUAUUAUUGAUAUUAAUAUAAAACAGUAAGGUUUUUUUUUUGUUUUUUUGUUAGGUGAGGUGCUAUUACUACUGCUUAAAUAAGCUUUUAUUAACAAUUUAUCUUUAAUCUUUGUCAAUAUUAAUACUAAUAUUGAUUCAGAAAUUGGGGGGGGGGCAAGCUGCCCUCUCUUGCUCCCCUGUAGCUCCGCCCCUGCAUCCUUAGUGCAUAUUGCUGUGGUCAAAAUCCUUUGGGAAAUAAUUUGAAAUUAAAGCAAUUUGUCUCUUAAAACAGUGAAAUAAUGGAAGUCAGAAGGCUGCCAUUUGGCUAAUACUCGUAGAAAUUGAGGCUUAAUGAGUCUAUUUGUUGUAUUUGUAGGUUGAGUGUUGACAUACAUACGCAGGCCAACCUGUAACUUUGCAGACUGCAACCCCCUCCGUGGUGGCUUUUAAACAGACAGGUGAAGAUCCGGUAACCGCUCUAGGCCUCUUUUUGUCCAGGAAUAUUGCCAUGUGCAUUCAGAGUCACUGAUAACAGUCAAUGGACUUUGGAAUUUGGGGUCAAGAGUAGCAGAGAGAAGGAUGACAGUCCUGCAGAGGACAAAGGGGUAGGAAAUAGGAGGAGUGCAAAAGCAGGCUGGACCUCCUCUCUGAGUGGUUUUUGUCGAGUUUCCAGCUUUCCGAGAGAAAGUGUUUACAGUCGAUGUGUUUUUGUUCCAGCAGGAGAACAGGAGGAAGUUCAUGUUGGUUUACUCUGACAUCUAGUGGACACACAUAGAAACUACGUUUUAAUAACAAAUGAACCGCAGUAACCUCUGAUAGACAGAGGUUAGCCGCUAAUUAAAACAUUGAUGUGAGAUUUAUUUUAUUUUUUCGUGUGUGUGUUAAAAAAGCCCUCAUACUUUUGCCUGCGAGUGAUUUUCAGAGUCCUGCAUUCUUGUUCAUGUUAGGUCAUGGGGUUUUGUUGAGACCUGCUUUAACAUGUUAUUUGAUAUCACACCAUGACUGCAGAUUUCCAAGUUUCAGAGCACAGAAACAUCUCUGUCUUUUAGGUUUCUAAAAAUGUUCUCAUGAGGUAAAAAUAUCCUGGUGACACGUUCCGAAAUGAAUGUUUGAUGAGCUGCAUUUCACAAAACAAGGAAGUCGAGCUUCUGAUUGAGGAAGCAGAUAAAACACCUCUGAAAUAUUCUUACAUAUUCACUGUACCAUGUGAAUCAGAGGAUCUGCGUUUGUGCUCUGUGUUUCUACUGGAAGAAUCUUCUGUCUUUUUAAGGGAGUCUGUGACACGUCAAACGGCAGGAAAAGGUCCCUCUGUAGACUGAGAGGGCAGAGCUUCCCCCUUCGUGCGCAAGAAUCUGAAAACCAGCUCGAGAGCAGGCGCCAGCAGGCUUCGGCUCGUGCUGCUAAACCGCAUCUGUGGGAUGCUUGAGGACCAGUUUGCGUUUGUGAAACUGCUGCAGCAUGUGGUCAUCUCUGGAUCUGAGCUCUCCUUUUUUCGACUGAGAGUGAAGGAAGUUGCAAAGAAAUGAAUGAAAAGGAGAU